RNAcentral lists this ribosomal RNA (425 nucleotides) under uncultured bacterium. RNAcentral describes it as "partial 16S ribosomal RNA". It matches the Rfam family "Bacterial small subunit ribosomal RNA", at positions 354 to 796 of the family's 1533-position model. The record is from RNAcentral.
GUGGGGAAUCUUGCGCAAUGGGCGAAAGCCUGACGCAGCCAUGCCGCGUGGAUGAUGAAGGUCUUAGGAUUGUAAAAUCCUUUCACCGGUGAAGAUAAUGACUGUAGCCGGAGAAGAAGCCCCGGCUAACUUCGUGCUAGCAGCCGCGGUAAUACGAAGGGGGCUAGCGUUGCUCGGAAUUACUGGGCGUAAAGGGAGCGUAGGCGGACAUUUAAGUCAGGGGUGAAAUCCCGAGGCUCAACCUCGGAACUGCCUUUGAUACUGGGUGUCUUGAGUACGGGAGAGGUGAGUGGAACUCCGAGUGUAGAGGUGAAAUUCGUAGAUAUUCGGAAGAACACCAGUGGCGAAGGCGACUCACUGGCCCGUUACUGACGCUGAGGCGCGAAAGCGUGGGGAGCAAACAGGAUUAGAAACCCGAGUAGUCC